GAUGAACGCUGGCGGCGCGCCUAAUACAUGCAAGUCGAGCGAACAGAUGAGGAGCUUGCUCCUCUGACGUUAGCGGCGGACGGGUGAGUAACACGUGGAUAACCUACCUAUAAGACUGGGAUAACUUCGGGAAACCGGAGCUAAUACCGGAUAAUAUAUUGAACCGCAUGGUUCAAUAGUGAAAGACGGUUUUGCUGUCACUUAUAGAUGGAUCCGCGCCGCAUUAGCUAGUUGGUAAGGUAACGGCUUACCAAGGCAACGAUGCGUAGCCGACCUGAGAGGGGGAGGGGCCCAACGGGAGUGGAGACCGGGCCCGGGACCGAAGGGGGGGCCAGAGGAGGGAGUGUGCCAGAAGGGGGGAAAGCUGGAGGGAGGAAGCCCGGGGGAGUGAGAAAGGUCUUGGGCUCGAAAAACUCUGUUGUUGGGGAAAAAAAAUUGUGAAGGUAAGUAGGCCCGUUUGAAGGGAACCUAAGAAGAAGGCCAGGGCAAACAAGUG
Molecule: ribosomal RNA, 496 nt
Filed under: uncultured bacterium
Lineage: Bacteria
Description: partial 16S ribosomal RNA
Rfam family: Bacterial small subunit ribosomal RNA
Source: RNAcentral